AUUGAACGCUGGCGGCAGGCCUAACACAUGCAAGUCGAGCGGAUGAAGGGAGCUUGCUCCUGGAUUCAGCGGCGGACGGGUGAGUAAUGCCUAGGAAUCUGCCUGGUAGUGGGGGAUAACGUCCGGAAACGGGCGCUAAUACCGCAUACGUCCUGAGUGAGGAAGUGGGGGAUCUUCGGACCUCACGCUAUCAGAUGAGCCUAGGUCGGAUUAGCUAGUUGGUGGGGUAAAGGCCUACCAAGGCGACGAUCCGUAACUGGUCUGAGAGGAUGAUCAGUCACACUGGAACUGAGACACGGUCCAGACUCCUACGGGAGGCAGCAGUGGGGAAUAUUGGACAAUGGGCGAAAGCCUGAUCCAGCCAUGCCGCGUGUGUGAAGAAGGUCUUCGGAUUGUAAAGCACUUUAAGUUGGGAGGAAGGGCAGUAAGUUAAUACCUUGCUGUUUUGACGUUACCAACAGAAUAAGCACCGGCUAACUUCGUG
This 484-nucleotide ribosomal RNA is filed under the name uncultured bacterium. RNAcentral describes it as "partial 16S ribosomal RNA". It matches the Rfam family "Bacterial small subunit ribosomal RNA", at positions 30 to 507 of the family's 1533-position model. The record is from RNAcentral.